RNAcentral lists this ribosomal RNA (326 nucleotides) under uncultured bacterium. RNAcentral describes it as "bacterial SSU rRNA". It matches the Rfam family "Bacterial small subunit ribosomal RNA", at positions 28 to 314 of the family's 1533-position model. The record is from RNAcentral.
GAUGAACGCUGGCGGCGUGCCUAAUACAUGCAAGUCGAACGCAUUGUGGUUGAAAUGAUAUGAAGAACUUGUUCAGAUUUGAUUUUCAACAUUGCAAUGAGUGGCGAACGGGUGAGUAACACGUGGGAAACCUACCUCUUAGCAGGGGAUAACAUUUGGAAACAAAUGCUAAUACCGUAUAAUAAUUAAAACCGCAAUGGUUUUAGUUUAAAAGAUGGUCUUGCUAUCACUAAGAGAUGGUCCCGCGGUGUAUUAGUUAGUUGGUGAGGUAAUGGCUCACCAAGACAAUGAUACAUAGCCGAGUUGAGUAGACUGACCGGCACAAU